UCCACUCUGGCAGGUUGGAAACUCCAACAUCUCCCAGCCCCGCAUGACCUCUGAGAACUCCAUUCUGCUCAGACACCUCCAGGAGCUGUUCACUGUCUCAGAGGAUCUCACCUUGCACAUGCAGAGCUUAGUCUUCAACCAAAGACUCAAGGAUUUAAGGCAUUCUAGGAAUCCAAGAUUUUGGUGGUCCUUCUCUGAGAAACUCCUUUGUUUUACAGUGUCUUAAUCCCCCUCACCCCCAAAUUUAACUGCCUUAAUAGUCUUUAACCAAUCUAUUUCCUCAGCUCAGUAAGACCACUGCUAUCUGUGUAGGCUUUAUUUUCCUGGGCCACAUUUUGGAAGCUGCUGCUAGGAAUGACUCAAGGGUUGCUUAUAUGCAAACUGGAAUUCUGACAAUUACAGAAAAGUGUCAGACAACAGUAAGUCUGCCUAAAGUAAAAUUUUACUUGUGAUGAAGAAAAGGGAUUUGUGUAUAUGAAGCAUAUGACCAGCUAAGUUUGAAAAACCCAGAUGCUCCUGGGCUUUGGAUGAUUGACUUACAAACUGAAAAGCAGAACAUCACACACCAUUUCUCUGAAAGUCAAGUUCACAUGGAUCUAGCAAUUAUCUCCACAGGGCAUCAUCUAUUUUCAUGCCUUUGCAAAUAAAUAAUCUUCACUUGAAUAAAAAUCAUUUGCUCCUUGA
Molecule: non-coding RNA, 684 nt
Organism: Ictidomys tridecemlineatus (thirteen-lined ground squirrel)
Lineage: Eukaryota; Metazoa; Chordata; Mammalia; Rodentia; Sciuridae
Source: RefSeq, a predicted model, not a curated record